This 58-nucleotide transfer RNA is filed under the name Cavia porcellus (domestic guinea pig). Lineage: Eukaryota; Metazoa; Chordata; Mammalia; Rodentia; Caviidae. The record is from Rfam by way of RNAcentral.
GGGGAUUUAGCUCAGCGGCAUAAGCACCUGCCUUGUAAGCAGGUGAGUUUGAUCUCCA